Non-coding RNA from Heterocephalus glaber (naked mole-rat), 3570 nucleotides. The record is from RefSeq and is a predicted model, not a curated record. NCBI's taxonomy places the organism in Eukaryota, Metazoa, Chordata, Mammalia, Rodentia, Bathyergidae.
UGCCACCCUCACCUGCCUUCUCCUUUCCACAUACUUCCUCUGAAACCAUGGACAGGCUCAUGUGUCCUCCGAUGAUACUGAAUCUGGGAUUCUAGUGUGGACAACAAUCCAGGGGCAAGAAUUAAUGGUGUACAAUGAAAAAACCAGCAAUUCAGACCAAGAUGGAAAAGCAGAUGUGAAGUCCCUCAUGGCGAAGUUUAACACAGGGAGCAACCUGGCAGAGGAGGUCUCAGGUAAUAACCGGCCCUUCAAAGCCACAGCACAAAACUCACCUUCGGGAAUACAAGCCAGAAAGAACUUAUUUGACAACCAGGGAAAUGUCAACCCUCCCACAGGACCCAGCAACAUGCCCAAGUUUGGGACUCCAAAGCCACCUUUGGCAGUGAAACCUACUUUCGAGGAAAAGCCUGACAAGGAGCCCAAACCUCCUUUUGUAAAACCCAGUGGAGUGAACCAAAGAUUUGGAACUUUGUCAAACUCAGCUACCAGAGAGCCUGACAUAAAAAUGGGAUUUCCAAAACCUGGAGGCCUCAAGCCCAUCAAUUUGCCAAAAGAAGAUUCCAAACCUGUGUUUCCCCGGCCUCCUGGAAAUAAGUCGUCACUUCACAGUGUGAACCAAGACCAAGACAUGAAGACACCAGGCCCAAAGCCUGGGACUGCCCCUCCAGCCCCGGAAAGUGAGCAAAGACUAGCAUUCUCCAGGCUGGCUGGGGCUAAAGGCAAGUUUACAUCAGCCUCACCAGAUCAUGAUGCCAAACCCCUGUUCCCCAAACCCAUCAUUGGCCAGAAGCCAGCCCUGGGUACCGAAAACUCCCAUGAAGAUGAGAACCUCACUAAGAAUAUGUCUGCCCAGAAAGGAUCCCCCACACCCCUAGGAGCCAAGUCCAAGGGAGGCUCUGUAAAACCAACAAGGGAAGCCCCAGAAAAUAAAGGCCAUGGAGGUGACGCAUCAAGUUCUCCAUUCACUGGAGUGGUUCUGAAACCUGCUGGAAGCCGAGGAAGCCCAGGCCUUUCCAGAAAUGGUGAAGAAAAUAAAGAAUAUAGGAAGAUAGAUGCCACUAAGAAUAUCUUCCUCAGCAAAGUGAAUCAGGAAGAGUCAGCCAAGUUCCCUAAGCCUCCUUCCAAGCUGACAGUGGGGGGGCCAUGGGGCCAAAGUCAAGAGAAAGAAAAGAAAGACAAAAACCCAGCAAUCCCAAAGCAGAAACCAUUGCCUCCUUUGUCUACCUUGGGUCCACCUCCACCCAAACCCAGCAGACCACCCAAUGUUGACCUGACGAAAUUCCGAAAAGCUGAUUCUGCAAACAGUACCAGCAAAAGCCAGACAUCUUACUCCACAACUGCCCUACCACCAACUCCACCAUCCCAGUCAGCCAGCCAGCCUCCAUUGCCAGCAUCUCAUCCAUCACAACCUCCAGCUCCAAGCCUACCUCCCAGAAACAUUAAACCUCCCUUUGACCCAAAAAGCACUGUACAUGAAGAAAAUCAAGACGGUGUCAUGCAUUCUGAUGGUACUGGAAAUCUAGAAGAGGAUCAAGACAGUGAAGUAGAAACAUAUGAAGACAUAGAGGCAUCCAAAGAACGAGACAAGAAACGGGAAAAGGAGGAAAAGAAGAGAAUAGAGCUGGAAAGAAAAGAACAGAAAGAGAAAGAGAAGAAAGAACAAGAAUUAAGGAAAAAAUUUAAACUAACUGGCCCUAUUCAAGUCAUCCAUCAGGCAAAAGCCUGCUGUGAUGUCAAAGGAGGAAAGAAUGAACUAAGCUUCAAGCAAGGAGAGGAAAUUGAAAUAAUCCGUAUCACUGACAACCCUGAAGGAAAAUGGUUGGGCAGAACAGCAAGGGGGUCAUAUGGCUAUAUCAAAACAACUGCUGUAGAGAUUGAUUAUGAUUCUUUGAAAAGGAAAAAGUCCUCUUUCACCACUCUCUCAAGACCCAUUGAAGAUGACCAGGAAGUAUACGAUGAUGUUGCUGAGCAGGAUGCUAGUAACAGCCAAAGUCAGAGUGGAAGUGGAGAAGGCGUCUUCCCACCACCACCGGAUGAUGACAUUUAUGAUGGGAUAGAAGAGGAAGAUGCUAAUGAUGGUUCCACGCUACAGGUUGAAGAGAAGAGUAGCACGUGGUCCUGGGGAAUUUUGAAGAAGUUAAAGGGAAAAGAUGACAAAAAGAAAAGUAUACGAGAGAAACGUAAAGUCUCUGAGUCAGACAAUAAUGAAGGUUCAUCUUUCCCUUCUCCUCCUAAACAAUUGGAAGUGGGAGAAGAAGUGUAUGAUGAUGUGGAUGCCUCUGAUUUCCCUGCCCUGCCAGCAGAGAUGAGUUAUGGAAGCAGCACUGGAAAAGCCAAGACAGAAGAUAAAGAUCCUAAGAAACCAAAAAAACAAGGAAAAGAAGAAAAAGACCUCAGGAAAAAAUUUAAAUAUGAUGGUGAAAUUAGAGUUCUAUAUUCAACCAAAGUUUCAUCUUCCUUAACUUCUAAAAAGUGGGGGACUAGAGAUCUACAGAUAAGGCCUGGUGAAUCUCUUGAAGUUAUACAAAACACAGAUGAUACAAAAGUUCUCUGCAGGAAUGAAGAAGGAAAAUGUAUAGUAGCAGUGUACUUUAUGAUUUCUAAAUUCACUGAUAACUACUUCAACUCUUAGAUGAUUUGGGAAUCUAUGCAGACUAGAAAGCAGAUGGUUAUGUGCUUCGGAGUCAUCUUGUGGACAAUGAUGGAGAGAUUUAUGAUGAUAUUGCUGAUGGUUGCAUCUAUGACAAUGACUAGGACUCAGCUUGUUCAUUCUGUACAUUGUUGUUCAAGAAAUCUAGCUUCUAUGUAGCAUAUGUAAUUGGAUAUCAUAAACAAAUUAAUGCACAGAAAUUCUUAUGACCAUUGGUUAUGAAAUUCUGAUUAUCUUUAUAAAAAUUUGAAAUUUUGAACUUAGAAAAUAAUCUUUCUUCUUAAUAUCUCAAAGGACUGCAUAAGGUGUAAAAAUUAUUAAAUUUCUGCUUUUGCUACAAUUAUAAAGGCAUUUUUUUAGACUAUCAAGACAAUUUCUUCUGGCCACCUGCCCUACCCAAAAAGAAAGAAAGAUAAGAAAGUCAUUCUAAAAGAAAUGACUAUUCUGUCUAAAAAAUAUGUAAGCAAGAAGAAGAAAUACAUAAAAGAAAUCAUAAAGCAUUCCACAAGAAGGAAAAUUAUUGUUCAUUCACUUAUGUUAGUUUCUUGUGUUGUCUAUUCAAAUCAUCUCUCAUUUUAAAAGGUAAAACUGUCUCCUCUUUUGCCAGUGGGCUUUCAAACAUUGUUGUAAAAACAGAACUUUUGUAUAGUUUGUCCCUAUUUGUUAAUUGUGAAUAUAUCUUAAUUAUUUGAUAAGAACAUUACACAUUCAAGUGUGCACAUUUAAGAUUAAACUGUAGAAGAAACUAAAGUGAGUUUUAUUUUUUCAGAAUCAUGUGCUAAUCAUUUAAGUUUCUUUUUAAAGUCCUAAUGUAACUAGAGCAGGUAUGAAUGAGGGCUGUCCUGCAGUUGUGAAGAAUGAAAGAACUCACUAGUCUUUGAUAACACCUAUUUAUUAUAAAAUUUCUUUUAAAAGUCCAA